This 493-nucleotide ribosomal RNA is filed under the name Idiocerus sp. 1 QX-2018. RNAcentral describes it as "partial large subunit ribosomal RNA". The stretch from base 360 to 493 matches the Rfam family "Bacterial large subunit ribosomal RNA", at positions 2473 to 2607 of the family's 2925-position model. The record is from RNAcentral. Lineage: Eukaryota; Metazoa; Arthropoda; Insecta; Hemiptera; Cicadellidae.
CUGCCCUAUGAUUAUUAAGUUAAAUGGCUGCAGUAUUUUGACUGUGCAAAGGUAGCAUAGUAAUUAGUUUCUUAAUUAGGGACUUGUAUGAAUGGAUUAAUGAGAAAUUUAUUUUAUUAUAAUUAUUUUUAAAAUUUAAUUUUUGAGUUAAAAUGCUCAAUUAUAUUAUUGGGACGAUAAGACCCUGUAGAACUUUAAAUAAGUAUAUAUUUUUUUUAUAUUUUAGAUUUUAUUAUUAUAUUAUUUACUUUUUUUUUACUGGGGUGGUAAAUAAAAACUUAACUUUAUUUAAUUUAAUCAUUAAUUUAUGUUUAUAUUUGAUCCAUUUAUGAAUGAUUAUAAGAUUAAGUUACCUCAGGGAUAACAGCGUAAUUUUAAUGGAAAGUUCUUAUUUAUAUUAAAGUUUGCGACCUCGAUGUUGAAUUAAGAUUAAAUUAAGGGGUAGGUUCUUUAAUAUUGGGUCUGUUCGACCUUUAAAUUCUUACAUGAUCUG